UUUCAGUCACCUUAGUCAAGAGGGAACUGGAUAAGGUAUACACUGUGCUUUUAGUUUUCCUAGCCUUUUGGCAGUUUUGAAUACUGUUUGCUUUACUAACCUGUUGAACUGCCUGCCUGAGUGGAAGAUCGGCCAAGAGGGCAAGGCAGAGAAGCCCGAGAUGUUGUCAGAACUGGAAGAUCAGUUGAGGAGAUGUUAAAAACAGGCCAGCUGGGCUAGGUGAGCGGCUGAUUGAGCUGGAGGAGGCAGGGGAAGAGAGCAGCAGAGCCUGUUGCAGCUGCCUUUACGAACUGGGACGAACCGGUUCAUGCCCAUCUCUACUUAGGGGACAUCGUUUGACGUCAUAGAUUUUGAGGCUGAAAAUAAGAUUUUGAUGUGUUGCUACCUUACCCCCGAUAUUUCUUAAUAAUAUCAUGAGAAAGGUCAUCCAAAGCUUUGCAUUUCAUGCCACCAAUAUGCUGAUGAUCCCUGUCUCCUGAUAUCCCUUCCCCUGCAUCUGGCAUUUGGAGGUCCCUUCCUUCUAAGCCUGGAGAUUAUACCUCCCCACUUUGUAACCUACGGUGGACUUUUCCUCCCGAAAUCUCUCCAGUCCCUUGUGAAAGGCAUCUAGGCCAGAGGCCGCCCCCCACAUCCUGUGGCAAGGAGUUCCGCAGACCAACAGCACACACGAUCAAGAAAUAUUUUAUUUUCUCCUGAUUGCAGAUUUUUUCCACCCUGAUUCUCCACGAAAACGCCCUCUGCCUGCCUGCCUGCAUGCAUGCACAACCUCCGCCGUGGUCUACAAGAGAGUAAAGACGGGGAGCGCAAAACACACAACCGGCCCCCGGCCCACCUGUAAAUACUGAGGAUUGGGGGAGGGAGGGGCGGAGCGGGAGGAAGCGAGGAGGGGGCGUGGUGUUGAGGCUGUCCCUCCUGCUAUUGGGCCUUUUCUAGUUGAGGGCGGGGCUUGCGCGCCCGGGAAAGGUGGUUCUCGGGCUUUUGCGUCCCGCCGGGAACCGAGGCCGUGUCGAGGAGUUCCGGUGGGGGCUUCCUUCCCUCCUCGAGCGAGCCUGCCCGGCGUGAGCCCGCUUUUCAUCCAUCCGAUGCCGCACGGAGUCUGUCCCCAUCGUCUGCCUCCUGAACGCUCGUUUGGGGCUCCCGUUUAAACUCUUACGGCUUCCCAAAGGGUUUAUUUCUUUGGGAGGGGGAACUAUUUCUGUCCUCAGAGUCCCCACCACACAUCUCCUUGUUUAUAGAUGUAGAUGGGAUUCCGCGAAGAUCAAUACCUGGAGAAGGACUUUGUGGUUAGUAGAAGGUUCCUGCUUGUAGUAGCGUAACCAUUGUUCUGUGCUGCAAUACUGGGGCCACUCAUUAGAAGUUGUCCUAAUACAAAAUUAAAUGUCUGUUGGUUUUGUAGUAUCUGGAAUAAAUUUAAGGCAGCCAUGAAGAGUCUGCCUUUC
Molecule: long non-coding RNA, 1439 nt
Filed under: Pogona vitticeps (central bearded dragon)
Lineage: Eukaryota; Metazoa; Chordata; Lepidosauria; Squamata; Agamidae
Description: lncRNA (ENSPVIG00000015680.1)
Source: RNAcentral